This is a long non-coding RNA of Haliotis rufescens (red abalone), 1910 nucleotides long. RefSeq lists it as uncharacterized. The record is from RefSeq and is a predicted model, not a curated record. NCBI's taxonomy places the organism in Eukaryota, Metazoa, Mollusca, Gastropoda, Lepetellida, Haliotidae. The transcript has 3 exons.
GUCUGUGUUUGUGUCCGAGGUCGGUGUGACUGGACACCGGUGAUGAUGGCGGCCCGUGUGGGGCCAUGACGAUAAGUGUUGAUAAAAUAACGGAACUAGAACCUGAUUUUCAUUUUUUUAUAUUGGGAUGCAUACCAAUAUGGAUUGUGCACGGGUUCCGGUGUGAGAAGCAUUACAUAUGUUUAAUAUGUUUGAAACAAAACAUGCGAAUAUACUUCCCGUGUGACUUGUCAUAAGGGCUGGACACCAGCGAUGAAUGCAGCAGUGAUAAGGCUGUAUUUUUGUAAAUGAGCAGUUAUGUAAAAACGAUAGUCUAUGAUUAGUUACGUAUAUAGCCAUUAUAUGUAUGCAACACCGGAAAAAAAUGUUAAACGUUGUAUUGUUUGUUGUGCUGUAAAAAAUAAUGUAUAAGUCUAAAUAUUGUAUAUACUUUGAAGCUUAAUCUGAAUUGCAAUGACACAUAAUAUAACAAAAGCAUUACACUGACAAAUGUAUAACAGAAGCAGCUGUAUCACAAUGUGUGAAAUACAGCUUCCGUGGAAGAAUCCAUGUUCAAGGUACCAGGGCCACCACCAGACAGUUUACUCCUUCUUGAUGGUGAAUACCCAGCAUUGUGUACACCCACGAAACAAACAGUAGUACCUGAUACAUUAUAGGGGCUUCCUAACAUAAUAUAUACUAUACUUCAUAUUUACUUUAGAUGAUUUUGUCAUAUGCUGUAUACACAAUGUUACUGAAUUGUUGCCACUGGACAAUUGUAUUUAUCCUUUCACUCUAUGUUCUACCCAUGCUUCCAAAAACACACAGGAUGAUACUUGUAAAUGGAUAGUUAGCUAUGCAAUGUAAAUAAUCUUUAUUUGGCGUCUUUAUGACAUGGCGUUAAUUGCCCAGCACUCUCACACAACCAUGUGAUGUAUACCAGAAGCAGGUGUAUCAGAUUCCGUUAUUCUGAAAAAAAAAGCUUCUGUGCUGAGAAUCAAAUAUAAGUACCAAGCCGUGUAUAGAAACGUUCUGUGCCUAACAUAAUGUGUAAUCGUGUAUUAGCUUUGUACAUCAAAUUUGAUUUGUAUGCAUGUUUUGGCAAUGAAAAUAUCAUGUCAAUGUUGUCAUAAAUUAAAAUGUUUCUCCUAGGGGUUAGAUAGCCUUGCAGGGUUAUUGACCCCGUAUCGGUGCAUAACAAGGACGUGCUUCUUGUGAUUAAUUGACAGUUUAAGAAUUGCAGGUUGUAUUACAUUUUAUUUUAUUUUUAUGGUGCUUUAUCAUCAAUGAUUUUAAAUAUUCCCGACUUUUAAUAUUUAGAUUUGGUCAUAGACACAUAACUACUCAAUUUCGUCCCAUUUGUUCAUUGUUUUAAGUUUUUGGACAUAUAACAAGAAAUGAUAUUACUUAUUAACUCCAAUGUUAUUAACAAAAUCAACAAAUAAAAAUAGUAGAAAGCAACUCUGUUCCAUAUAUAAGCAUUCAACAUCGCGCAAGGAGCUGCGAUGAAACAAACAAAUUGUCUAUGCCAUAUUGUGUUAUUGUAGUUUAGGUAUACUUUGUAAUUAAAUCAGGUGUUUAUCUUGUGUGAUAAGUGUGCAGGGUAACUAAGUCUAAGUGUGUGCAUACCAAGGUAACAGAACCAACGCUAAACAAUUUACUAAAUGUCAUAUCCUUUCACAGCAGAUGGUGUUUGAUACGAAGGGAUUUGUGAAAUCCAUAUUUCAUUUUAGUUUUGGCAUAUGCUGUAUGUUAUGAAAUCGUUACAAUAUGCCAGAGCAAGAACCAGAAUGUUAUCAUUUUUUUAUGUCUUGGUUACAACAGUUUGUGUAUACUUUACAAUCAGCAAUAAAUAAUUGAAAGCUUGAAUACAUUUCCUCCUGUGCUUCGAAUUCAUCUACAUCUACUCUUGUCAGGGGGGUACUCAAAGU